GACGAACGCUGGCGGCGUGGAUUAGGCAUGCAAGUCGAACGGUAUCAUCCUUUCGGGGGUGAGAGAGUGGCGAACUGGUGAGUAACACGUAGGUUAUCUACCCUCAAGACGGGGACAACCCAGGGAAACUUGGGCUAAUACCGGAUGUGAGCAACUUUUAGUUGUUUGAAAGGUGGCGUAAGCUGUCGCUUGGGGAUGAGCCUGCGUCCUAUUAGUUAGUUGGUGAGGUAACGGCUCACCUAGGCAAUGAUAGGUAGGCGGCCUUAACGGGUGGUCGCCCACACUGGGAUUGAGAUACGGCCCAGACUCCUACGGGAGGCAGCAGUCGAGAAUAGUCUACAAUGGUCGGAAGACUGAUAGUGCGACGCCGCGUGAACGAUGAAUCCCUUCGGGGUUAAAGUUCUUUUAUAUGUGAGCAGUGCUUCUUAUAUUAACAGUAUGGGGAAGAGAUAUAGCAUAUGAAUAGCAACGGCUAACUCCGUGCCAGCAGCCGGGUAA
RNAcentral lists this ribosomal RNA (498 nucleotides) under uncultured bacterium. RNAcentral describes it as "bacterial SSU rRNA". It matches the Rfam family "Bacterial small subunit ribosomal RNA", at positions 28 to 523 of the family's 1533-position model. The record is from RNAcentral.